GAUGAACGCUAGCUACAGGCUUAACACAUGCAAGUCGAGGGGCAGCAUGAACUUAGCUUGCUAAGUUCGAUGGCGACCGGCGCACGGGUGAGUAACACGUAUCCAACCUGCCUUCAACUCAGGGAUAGCCUUUCGAAAGAAAGAUUAAUACUUGAUGGCAUAACCUGGUCUCCUGACUUGGUUAUUAAAGAAUUUCGGUUGAAGAUGGGGAUGCGUUCCAUUAGGCAGUUGGUGGGGUAACGGCCCACCAAACCUACGAUGGAUAGGGGUUCUGAGAGGAAGGUCCCCCACAUUGGAACUGAGACACGGUCCAA
RNAcentral lists this ribosomal RNA (314 nucleotides) under uncultured bacterium. RNAcentral's name for it is "bacterial SSU rRNA". It matches the Rfam family "Bacterial small subunit ribosomal RNA", at positions 28 to 334 of the family's 1533-position model. The record is from RNAcentral.